GUCACGAUAGCUCAAUUGGAAGAGCAGCGGCGUAUUUAGCCGAAGGUCGUGGGUUCGAAUCCCACUCGUGACA
This 73-nucleotide non-coding RNA is filed under the name Cimex lectularius (bed bug). Its description in RNAcentral is "tRNA". It matches the Rfam family "tRNA". From Rfam's summary of the family: Transfer RNA (tRNA) molecules are approximately 80 nucleotides in length. Lineage: Eukaryota; Metazoa; Arthropoda; Insecta; Hemiptera; Cimicidae. The record is from Rfam by way of RNAcentral.